This 993-nucleotide ribosomal RNA is filed under the name Companilactobacillus paralimentarius. RNAcentral describes it as "bacterial SSU rRNA". It matches the Rfam family "Bacterial small subunit ribosomal RNA", at positions 378 to 1364 of the family's 1533-position model. The record is from RNAcentral. Lineage: Bacteria; Bacillati; Bacillota; Bacilli; Lactobacillales; Lactobacillaceae.
AGAGUCUGAUGGAGCAUGCCGCGUGAGUGAAGAAGGUUUUCGGAUCGUAAAACUCUGUUGUUGAAGAAGAACAUAUGUGAGAGUAACUGUUCACGUACUGACGGUAUUCAACCAGAAAGCCACGGCUAACUACGUGCCAGCAGCCGCGGUAAUACGUAGGUGGCAAGCGUUGUCCGGAUUUAUUGGGCGUAAAGAGAAUGUAGGCGGUUUAUUAAGUUUGAAGUGAAAGCCCUCGGCUCAACCGAGGAAGUGCUUCGAAAACUGGUAAACUUGAGUGCAGAAGAGGAAAGUGGAACUCCAUGUGUAGCGGUGGAAUGCGUAGAUAUAUGGAAGAACACCAGUGGCGAAGGCGGCUUUCUGGUCUGUAACUGACGCUGAGAUUCGAAAGCAUGGGUAGCAAACAGGAUUAGAUACCCUGGUAGUCCAUGCCGUAAACGAUGAGUGCUAAGUGUUGGAGGGUUUCCGCCCUUCAGUGCUGCAGCUAACGCAUUAAGCACUCCGCCUGGGGAGUACGAUCGCAAGAUUGAAACUCAAAGGAAUUGACGGGGGCCCGCACAAGCGGUGGAGCAUGUGGUUUAAUUCGAAGCAACGCGAAGAACCUUACCAGGUCUUGACAUACCAUGAAAAGCUUAGAGAUAAGUCUUUCCCUUCGGGGACAUGGAUACAGGUGGUGCAUGGUUGUCGUCAGCUCGUGUCGUGAGAUGUUGGGUUAAGUCCCGCAACGAGCGCAACCCUUAUUAUCAGUUGCCAGCAUUCAGUUGGGCACUCUGGUGAGACUGCCGGUGAUAAACCGGAGGAAGGUGGGGACGACGUCAAAUCAUCAUGCCCCUUAUGACCUGGGCUACACACGUGCUACAAUGGUCGGUACAACGUGCUGCGAACUCGCGAGGGUAAGCAAAUCACUUAAAACCGAUCUCAGUUCGGAUUGUAGGCUGCAACUCGCCUACAUGAAGCUGGGAAUCGCUAGUAAUCGCGGAUCAGCAUGCCGCGGUG